This 550-nucleotide ribosomal RNA is filed under the name Paenibacillus polymyxa. RNAcentral's name for it is "bacterial LSU rRNA". It matches the Rfam family "Bacterial large subunit ribosomal RNA", at positions 647 to 1197 of the family's 2925-position model. The record is from RNAcentral. Lineage: Bacteria; Bacillati; Bacillota; Bacilli; Caryophanales; Paenibacillaceae.
UAAGGUGAAGAGCUGAAGCCGCAGCGAAAGCGAGUCUGAAUAGGGCGAAUGAGUACGUGGACGUAGACCCGAAACCGGGUGAUCUACCCCUGUCCAGGGUGAAGGUGCGGUAACACGCACUGGAGGCCCGAACCCACGCAUGUUGAAAAUGCGGGGAUGAGGUGGGGGUAGCGGAGAAAUUCCAAUCGAACCCGGAGAUAGCUGGUUCUCCCCGAAAUAGCUUUAGGGCUAGCCUCGGAAAGAAGAAUCGUGGAGGUAGAGCACUGAUUGGGUGCGGGGCCCGCAAGGGUUACCAAGCUCAGUCAAACUCCGAAUGCCAUAGAUUUAGUUCCGGGAGUCAGACAGUGAGUGCUAAGAUCCAUUGUCGAAAGGGAAACAGCCCAGACCAUCAGCUAAGGUCCCCAAGUGUGUGUUAAGUGGGAAAGGAUGUGGAGUUGCACAGACAACCAGGAUGUUGGCUUAGAAGCAGCCACCAUUGAAAGAGUGCGUAAUAGCUCACUGGUCGAGUGACUCUGCGCCGAAAAUGUAACGGGGCUAAACACACCACCGA